GGAGGAAUACCCAAGUCUGGUUGAAGGGGUCGGUCUUGAAAACCGAAAGGUCGGGCAACCGGCGCAGGGGUUCGAAUCCCUUUUCCUCCGCCA
Molecule: transfer RNA, 93 nt
Filed under: Mollicutes bacterium
Lineage: Bacteria; Bacillati; Mycoplasmatota; Mollicutes
Description: tRNA-Ser
Rfam family: tRNA
About the family: Transfer RNA (tRNA) molecules are approximately 80 nucleotides in length. Their secondary structure includes four short double-helical elements and three loops (D, anti-codon, and T loops).
Source: RNAcentral